GGGCAGUGAUGAAAAAAUUUGAUUAAGCUCCACUCUGAUUUUUCUGUACUGAUAAUUUUCUUACCCAUUUUUCCCAAGCCC
RNAcentral lists this small nucleolar RNA (81 nucleotides) under Cephalotus follicularis. Its description in RNAcentral is "Small nucleolar RNA Z221/R21b". It matches the Rfam family "Small nucleolar RNA Z221/R21b". Rfam says of the family: Z221 is a member of the C/D class of snoRNA which contain the C (UGAUGA) and D (CUGA) box motifs. The record is from Rfam by way of RNAcentral. Lineage: Eukaryota; Viridiplantae; Streptophyta; Magnoliopsida; Oxalidales; Cephalotaceae.